RNAcentral lists this transfer RNA (73 nucleotides) under bacterium. RNAcentral describes it as "tRNA-Glu". It matches the Rfam family "tRNA". Rfam says of the family: Transfer RNA (tRNA) molecules are approximately 80 nucleotides in length. The record is from RNAcentral.
GGCGCCAUCAUCUAACGGCUUAGGAUAGAGGGUUUUCAGCCCUUUCAUUCGGGUUCGAUUCCCGAUGGCGUCA